RNAcentral lists this ribosomal RNA (447 nucleotides) under uncultured bacterium. Its description in RNAcentral is "partial 16S ribosomal RNA". It matches the Rfam family "Bacterial small subunit ribosomal RNA", at positions 29 to 523 of the family's 1533-position model. The record is from RNAcentral.
AACGAACGCUGGCGGCAGGCUUAACACAUGCAAGUCGAACGCCCCGCAAGGGGAGUGGCAGACGGGUGAGUAACGCGUGGGAAUCUACCCAUCCCUACGGAACAACUCCGGGAAACUGGAGCUAAUACCGUAUACGCCCUACGGGGGAAAGAUUUAUCGGGGAUGGAUGAGCCCGCGUUGGAUUAGCUAGUUGGUGGGGUAAAGGCCUACCAAGGCGACGAUCCAUAGCUGGUCUGAGAGGAUGAUCAGCCAAAUUGGGACUGAGACACGGCCCAAACUCCAACGGGAGGAAGCAGUGGGGAAUAUUGGACAAUGGGCGCAAGCCUGAUCCAGCCAUGCCGCGUGAGUGAUGAAGGUCUUAGGAUUGUAAAGCUCUUUCCCCGAUGAAGAUAAUGACGGUAGUCGGAGAAGAAGCCCCGGCUAACUUCGUGCCAGCCGCCGCCGUAA